Molecule: ribosomal RNA, 1788 nt
Filed under: Drosophila elegans
Lineage: Eukaryota; Metazoa; Arthropoda; Insecta; Diptera; Drosophilidae
Description: bacterial LSU rRNA
Rfam family: Bacterial large subunit ribosomal RNA
Source: RNAcentral
AGAGGGAACAGCCCAGACCACCAGCUAAGGCCCCUAAAUCGUGGCUAAGUGGGAAAGGAUGUGGGGAUUCCAAAACAACCAGGAGGUUGGCUUAGAAGCAGCCAUCCUUUAAAGAAAGCGUAAUAGCUCACUGGUCUAAUAGAAACCCUGCGCCGAAAAUGUAACGGGGCUCAAGCCACGUGCCGAAGCUGUGGGUGCAUAUCUAUGAUAUGCGCGGUAGCGGAGCGUUCCGUAAGUCUGUGAAGGAGACGGGGUGACCCUCUCUGGAGAUAUCGGAAGUGCGAAUGCUGACAUGAGUAGCGACAAACAGUGCGAGAAACACUGUCGCCGAAAGUCCAAGGGUUCCUGCGCAAGGUUAAUCCACGCAGGGUUAGUCGGCCCCUAAGGCGAGGGCGAAAGCCGUAGUCGAUGGGAAUCAGGUGAAUAGUCCUGAACCUGCCAGAAGUGACGAAUGCAAGAUGUUGUCAGUCCUUAUCGGAUUGGACUGGCUUUUUGCGCAUUCCAGGAAAUAGCUCUGGCGUAUAGACCGUACCCGAAACCGACACAGGUGGACUGGUAGAGAAUACCAAGGCGCUUGAGAGAACGAUGCUGAAGGAACUAGGCAAAUUACUCGUGUAACUUCGGGAUAAGCGAGACCCGUUGGUGGGCAACCAUUGGCGGGUGGCACAGACCAGGGGGUAGCGACUGUUUAGUAAAAACACAGGGCUCUGCGAAGUCGAAAGACGACGUAUAGGGCCUGACGCCUGCCCGGUGCCGGAAGGUUAAGAGGAGGUGUGAGAGCACUGAAUUGAAGCCCCGGUAAACGGCGGCCGUAACUAUAACGGUCCUAAGGUAGCGAAAUUCCUUGUCGGGUAAGUUCCGACCUGCACGAAUGGCGUAACGACUUCCCCGCUGUCUCCAGCAUCGGCUCAGCGAAAUUGAAUUCCCCGUGAAGAUGCGGGGUAUCCGCGGUCAGACGGAAAGACCCUAUGAACCUUUACUGCAGCUUUACAGUGGCAUCAGAGACAUUCUGUGUAGGAUAGGUGGGAGGCUUUGAAGCGGGGGCGCCAGUUCCCGUGGAGCCAUCCUUGAAAUACCACCCUGAAUUUUUCUGAUGUCUAACCGCGGUCAGUUAGCCUGAUCCGGGACCCUGUAUGGUGGGCAGUUUGACUGGGGCGGUCGCCUCCCAAAGUGUAACGGAGGCGCGCGAUGGUGGGCUCAGGCCGGUCGGAAACCGGCUGUUGAGUGCAAUGGCAUAAGCCCGCCUGACUGCGAGAGUGACAGCUCGAGCAGAGACGAAAGUCGGCCAUAGUGAUCCGGUGGUCCCGCGUGGAAGGGCCAUCGCUCAACGGAUAAAAGGUACUCUAGGGAUAACAGGCUGAUCUCCCCCAAGAGUCCACAUCGACGGGGAGGUUUGGGCACCUCGAUCGUCGGCUCAUCACAUCCUGGGGCUGGAGCAGGUCCCAAGGGUUCGGCUGUUCGCCGAUUAAAGUGGUACGUGAGCUGGGUUUAGAACGUCGUGAGACAGUUCGGUCCCUAUCUGCCGUGGAUGUUGGAGACUUGAGAGGAUUUGUCCCUAGUACGAGAGGACCGGGAUGAACACACCUCUGGUGCACCGGUUGUCGCGCCAGCGGCACCGCCGGGUAGCUAAGUGUGGACGGGAUAACCGCUGAAAGCAUCUAAGCGGGAAACCCACCUCAAAACUAGGUCUCCCCAAGGGCCGUGAUAGACCAUCACGUCAAUAGGCCAGGUGUGAAAGCGCAGUAAUGCGUGCAGCUAACUGGUCCUAAUCGCCCAAUAGGCUCACUC